GGGCCCGCACAAGCGGUGGAGCAUGUGGUUUAAUUCGAAGAUACGCGCAGAACCUUACCAACACUUGACAUGUUCGUCGCGACUUUAAGAGAUUAAAGUUUUCGGUUCGGCCGGACGAAACACAGGUGCUGCAUGGCUGUCGUCAGCUCGUGUCGUGAGAUGUUGGGUUAAGUCCCGCAACGAGCGCAACCCUCACUUUUAGUUGCCAUCAUUUAGUUGGGCACUCUGAAAGAACUGCCAGUGAUAAGCUGGAGGAAGGUGGGGAUGACGUCAAGUCCUCAUGGCCCUUACGUGUUGGGCUACACACGUGCUACAAUGGUAUUUACAACAGGAAGCAAAACGGCAACGUUAAG
Molecule: ribosomal RNA, 353 nt
Filed under: uncultured bacterium
Lineage: Bacteria
Description: bacterial SSU rRNA
Rfam family: Bacterial small subunit ribosomal RNA
Source: RNAcentral